ACUCCUACGGGAGGCAGCAGUGGGGAAUCUUAGACAAUGGGCGCAAGCCUGAUCUAGCCAUGCCGCGUGUGUGACGAAGGCCUUAGGGUCGUAAAGCACUUUCGCCAGGGAUGAUAAUGACAGUACCUGGUAAAGAAACCCCGCUAACUCCGUGCCAGCAGCCGCGGUAAUACGGAGGGGUUAGCGUUGUUCGGAAUUACUGGGCGUAAAGCGCGCGUAGGCGGAUUGGAAAGUUGGGGGUGAAAUCCC
RNAcentral lists this ribosomal RNA (249 nucleotides) under uncultured bacterium. RNAcentral's name for it is "partial 16S ribosomal RNA". It matches the Rfam family "Bacterial small subunit ribosomal RNA", at positions 335 to 603 of the family's 1533-position model. The record is from RNAcentral.